Oryctolagus cuniculus (rabbit) is the source of this 860-nucleotide non-coding RNA. Lineage: Eukaryota; Metazoa; Chordata; Mammalia; Lagomorpha; Leporidae. The record is from RefSeq and is a predicted model, not a curated record.
UAAACUUGGCCUUCCUGCUGCCAGCCCCUUUCGCCCACAGCGCGCUGCUCGGUUCAACGGAGUUCGGAGUUCGAGAGGCUGAUGCACAUAAGGUCUGGUGCUGGAAAGAACAGGUGAGACUUCUGAGGAGUGAUGUCCACAGUUCUGCUUUCUUUGUCCCUUUCACGGUGACAGCAGGGGUGAAAACUGGCAUGGCCACAUUUUCAUAGAAUUCAAUUCCAUUAUUUAAAAUAGUUUUUCUAUCAACCAGCCCCAGUCUGAUAGUUAACCAGUCCUUAUCUUGAUUCUCAUACUCUGCAAAGAUGACUAAAGCUAGUUCUUCCAAGAGGUCAAGUUUAGAACACAGGAAUAGCUAGAUUGGUGAUCUUAAAACUGGAUCUUAAGACAACAUUGUAAAUUACUCUGCUUUACAUUUUACUGUUCUAAAAAUCACAGAUUCUCUCACAAUAUGGUCUUAGAAGUUACUGUUAGGGCAUACCUAUGGCGAUGGUGAGCUUAAUCCUACCCAAGAUCUACCUGGAUACUGAACAGAAUACCUGUAUAUGUGUAGUAGAACAUGAGGCUGCCUUCAUCUUGUUAUAUUCUUUGCUUUUAGAGAUGUGGUUUUGUGUACUUUGUACACUUACCAAUUGUUCCAUAAUCAUUUUAGGGAUUACAUUUGAUCCUUUGGGCAGAGAACAGGCCCGCAGGUUUGAGAGAUGAAGGCAAGAUUGACUGCCAAGGGGCAUGAGGGAGUUUCUUGAAUGGGUCCUUUAUUCUGCAAUUCUAUAUCUUGGUUAUGGUGGUGAUUACAUUUGUCUCACACUUCAGGUGAAUUCCCCUGAAUGUAAAUUCAUACUUCAAUAAACUUUUGAAAACAA